This 700-nucleotide ribosomal RNA is filed under the name uncultured Chroococcales cyanobacterium. Its description in RNAcentral is "bacterial SSU rRNA". It matches the Rfam family "Bacterial small subunit ribosomal RNA", at positions 94 to 825 of the family's 1533-position model. Lineage: Bacteria; Bacillati; Cyanobacteriota; Cyanophyceae; Chroococcales. The record is from RNAcentral.
AGUGGCGGACGGGUGAGUAACGCGUGAGAAUCUGGCUUCAGGAGGGGGACAACAGUUGGAAACGACUGCUAAUACCCCAUAUGUCUACGGAUGAAACGGUGAAUUCCGCCUGAAGAUGAGCUCGCGUCGGAUUAGCUAGUUGGUGAGGUAAAGGCUCACCAAGGCGACGAUCCGUAGCUGGUCUGAGAGGAUGAUCAGCCACACUGGGACUGAGACACGGCCCAGACUCCUACGGGAGGCAGCAGUGGGGAAUUUUCCGCAAUGGGCGAAAGCCUGACGGAGCAACGCCGCGUGCGGGAAGACGGCCUGUGGGUUGUAAACCGCUUUUGACAGGGAAGAAGCUCUGACGGUACCUGUCGAAUCAGCAUCGGCUAACUCCGUGCCAGCAGCCGCGGUAAUACGGAGGAUGCAAGCGUUAUCCGGAAUUAUUGGGCGUAAAGCGUCCGUAGGUGGUUAAGUAAGUCUGCUGUUAAAGCGUGGAGCUUAACUCCAUAUCGGCAGUGGAAACUACUUGACUUGAGUGCGGUAGGGGUCAGGGGAAUUCCCAGUGUAGCGGUGAAAUGCGUAGAUAUUGGGAAGAACACCGGUGGCGAAAGCGCCUGACUGGGCCUGCACUGACACUGAGGGACGAAAGCUAGGGGAGCGAAAGGGAUUAGAUACCCCUGUAGUCUUAGCUGUAAACGAUGGGCACUAGGCGUUG